Molecule: long non-coding RNA, 488 nt
Organism: Rhea pennata
Lineage: Eukaryota; Metazoa; Chordata; Aves; Rheiformes; Rheidae
Exons: 3
Source: RefSeq, a predicted model, not a curated record
GACACUUCUCCGUGUCGGUGCCACAUAUGGAAAUAGUGCAGAGGCUGCAUUUUUAGCCGCCACGACUGCAAUUUGAAGAGAAAAAGAGAGAUUCAUUAACUUCUACAGCUCUGGAGACAUUACUAAAACUGCCAGUGGACUACUCCUGACCCACCUCUGAUGUCCAACCCUUCCACGUCGCACGAGAUCCCAGCUGGUGCUUGCACUUGCUGUACAAGGACCAUCGCCGGGAGGACGGUCGCGGCCGGGUGAGGCCACCGCAGGAAAGAGAUGCUACCGUUCCUCGCCGAAGGAGAAGCCCAGGCAAUAUUGCUCAUGUCCAAAGGCACAACCAGAAGGGGAACAUGACCUGCCUUAAACUCCCAUUUACAGACAAGCACACCUGUUUCUAAACGGUGCACCCUGGACUUGAUGCUCACAGCCACCUGAAAGGGUGCAAAAUGCUCGGUCAAAACCCUGCAGUCUCUAAGCAGUAUCUUUUUUUUUUU